Fukomys damarensis (Damara mole-rat) is the source of this 615-nucleotide long non-coding RNA. RefSeq lists it as uncharacterized. The transcript has 3 exons. NCBI's taxonomy places the organism in Eukaryota, Metazoa, Chordata, Mammalia, Rodentia, Bathyergidae. The record is from RefSeq and is a predicted model, not a curated record.
CCAAGAAGAUCACUCCUUAUCCUUGGUCCCAGACCUUCUUUCUCUCCUGAUUCCCCACAACACCCACACUACAGCGGCAAUGGGAAGAAUGAGAGGAGCAAUCUUCCACCUUACCUACAAGAUGACUUCUUUAUCAUGACCAUCACUCACAGACUGCACCAUUAGUGAGCUGGUGGACCUCUCCUGCUCAGGUGCAGCUGUCCUGAUGUGACUUAACCAUCACCACAUCAUUCUCAGAUCGCCAGGUCGGUACCGACAUCAGUGCUGUAUUUAACUUCUUGCCCUGGCCCCACCAGGCCCUUUGCUCCCAGACAACAGAGGCACGCCAAGCUUCCUCCUGCCCUGGACGCUCCUCUCCACACACCAGGCCAAACAUCUUCCGCUUUAUGACUGAGCUCAGGUUUCACCUCCUUCUUCCCUGACAAGACUAUGCUGCCACAGAAGCUUGUUGUGGAAGGUUUCUCACAGUACUCUUCACACGUCUUCCUCCCUUGCCCUGUAGUCAACCUGCCAGAGAGUCCACAAGGAACCUCGCCUCCUGGUACCCAUGCCCUCCCUCGUACAGUUCCCUUCCAUGUUGAGCCAGGGCUCAGCUGUGAGGUCAAUAAAAUAAAG